Molecule: ribosomal RNA, 390 nt
Filed under: Triticum aestivum (bread wheat)
Lineage: Eukaryota; Viridiplantae; Streptophyta; Magnoliopsida; Poales; Poaceae
Description: partial small subunit ribosomal RNA
Source: RNAcentral
AUGACUUUUAAGCAGCUUCUUGCUCUUGAUCCAUUAGAUAAUUUGUUUCAUUUCUGCAGGGCAAGCCUUUCAUUUGUAAGGUCACCAUCAUGCGUCUGGGCUCUGAUCAGCGUUGGUGGUUCCUCUCGUGCGUUGCCUGCCAUAAGACUGCGUAGGUUAAUGGGCCUAGGUUCCGUUGCUCAGACCAAGGUUGCUCUUCCGUUGGGGCAGAGCCGGCAUAUUCUAUCUGCACAUUUGCAACUGAUGGAUCAGCUGAGGCUGAAUCCAAUGUUCUUUGAGAGAGCUGGCAGAGCAGCAAUAGGCAAACCACUUCUAACCUUGCUGCGGCAAAAGUAUCCAGGGUAUUCACUAUUCAGAGGUUCGCGACCUUGCGCAGAUAGUAGGAGCUGA